Molecule: ribosomal RNA, 656 nt
Filed under: Pantoea sp.
Lineage: Bacteria; Pseudomonadati; Pseudomonadota; Gammaproteobacteria; Enterobacterales; Erwiniaceae
Description: bacterial SSU rRNA
Rfam family: Bacterial small subunit ribosomal RNA
Source: RNAcentral
GUACCAUGCAGUCGACGGCAGCACAGAAGAGCUUGCUCUUUGGGUGGCGAGUGGCGGACGGGUGAGUAAUGUCUGGGAAACUGCCCGAUGGAGGGGGAUAACUACUGGAAACGGUAGCUAAUACCGCAUAACGUCGCAAGACCAAAGUGGGGGACCUUCGGGCCUCACACCAUCGGAUGUGCCCAGAUGGGAUUAGCUAGUAGGUGGGGUAAUGGCUCACCUAGGCGACGAUCCCUAGCUGGUCUGAGAGGAUGACCAGCCACACUGGAACUGAGACACGGUCCAGACUCCUACGGGAGGCAGCAGUGGGGAAUAUUGCACAAUGGGCGCAAGCCUGAUGCAGCCAUGCCGCGUGUAUGAAGAAGGCCUUCGGGUUGUAAAGUACUUUCAGCGGGGAGGAAGGCGGUGAGGUUAAUAACCUCGCCGAUUGACGUUACCCGCAGAAGAAGCACCGGCUAACUCCGUGCCAGCAGCCGCGGUAAUACGGAGGGUGCAAGCGUUAAUCGGAAUUACUGGGCGUAAAGCGCACGCAGGCGGUCUGUUAAGUCAGAUGUGAAAUCCCCGGGCUUAACCUGGGAACUGCAUUUGAAACUGGCAGGCUUGAGUCUCGUAGAGGGGGGUAGAAUUCCAGGUGUAGCGGUGAAAUGCGUAGAGAU